UACAGGGGGUGCAAACGUUGCUCGGAAUUAUUGGGCGUAAAGCGCGCGUAGGCGGCCGCUUAAGUCGGAUGUGAAAGCCCCUGGCUCAACUGGGGAAGUGCACCCGAAACUGAGUGGCUUGAGUACUAAAGAGGGUCGCGGAAUUCCCGGUGUAGAGGUGAAAUUCGUAGAUAUCAAGAGGAACACCUGAGGUGAAGACGGGUUGCUGGGCUGACACUGACGCUGAUGCGCGAAAGCCAGGGGAGCAAACGGG
RNAcentral lists this ribosomal RNA (253 nucleotides) under uncultured bacterium. RNAcentral's name for it is "partial 16S ribosomal RNA". It matches the Rfam family "Bacterial small subunit ribosomal RNA", at positions 524 to 776 of the family's 1533-position model. The record is from RNAcentral.